This 422-nucleotide long non-coding RNA is filed under the name Vulpes vulpes (red fox). RNAcentral's name for it is "lncRNA (ENSVVUG00000005933.1)". The record is from RNAcentral. Lineage: Eukaryota; Metazoa; Chordata; Mammalia; Carnivora; Canidae.
GCGGACGCGGCGGAGGCGGGAGCUGGGGGGGCGAGGCCCGCGCGGCCCCGCUCGCCGCUGCUCGGCGGAGGCUGAGAGCCGGCGGGCAUCUGCAUCCCCGCGCCCGCUAAGCCCCGGCACCGCGGACCCCGGGCCACGGCUCUCCGUGGCGGCAACGCGCCGGGAGGACCGCGCGGGAGAGCACGAUGGGCGCCCGGGGCUCGAUUCUGCCACCUCCUUGAAUGCCAAAUCAAUCCCCAAGGUUGGUAACCUGCCAGAGAAGCACAGGCCCCUCUGCAUUCUUCUGGGUCUGGAAGUCCUGCUUGAAGUCUGCACUUCCAAGCUUCCUACCUGGGGCGGGUGGGUGCUCGCCCACCCUCCCGCCCUCUUUCCUCUCCACUCGUGAGCCAGAGCCGCAUCCAGCACCACGGACAGCUCCCUGA